This 346-nucleotide ribosomal RNA is filed under the name uncultured bacterium. RNAcentral describes it as "bacterial SSU rRNA". It matches the Rfam family "Bacterial small subunit ribosomal RNA", at positions 338 to 676 of the family's 1533-position model. The record is from RNAcentral.
CCUACGGGUUGCAGCAGUGGGGAAUAUUGCACAAUGGGCGCAAGCCUGAUGCAGCCAUGCCGCGUGUAUGAAGAAGGCCUUCGGGUUGUAAAGUACUUUCAGCGGGGAGGAAGGCGAUAAGGUUAAUAACCUUGUCGAUUGACGCUACCCGCAGAAGAAGCACCGGCUAACUCCGUGCCAGCAGCCGCGGUAAUACGGAGGGUGCAAGCGUUAAUCGGAAUUACUGGGCGUAAAGCGCACGCAGGCGGUCUGUCAAGUCGGAUGUGAAAUCCCCGGGCUCAACCUGGGAACUGCAUUCGAAACUGGCAGGCUAGAGUCUUGUAGAGGGGGGUAGAAUUCCAGGUGU